Molecule: long non-coding RNA, 289 nt
Filed under: Mus musculus (house mouse)
Lineage: Eukaryota; Metazoa; Chordata; Mammalia; Rodentia; Muridae
Description: long non-coding RNA chr3:70689091-70689380
Source: RNAcentral
AUGGCGAAAGGCAAACGUAAGAAUCCUACUAACAGAAAUCAAGACCACUCACCAUCAUCAGAACGCAGCACUCCCACCCCACCUAGUCCUGGGCACCCCAACACAACCGAAAAUCUAGACCCAGAUUUAAAAACAUUUCUCAUGAUGAUGAUAGAGGACAUCAAGAAGGACAUUCAUAAGUCACUUAAAGAAUUACAGGAGAGCACUGCUAAAGAGUUACAGGCCCUUAAAGAAAAGCAGGAAAACACAGCCAAACAGGUAGAAAUCAUUAAAGAAAAACAGGAAAACA